AUAGAUAUAGGAAGAUGUGGUGUGAGUGCCAAUGAGACAACUCUCCAUCCAAAUAACAAUUUAAAAAUUAAACCAUUAUAGGUUAAAGUACGGCCUUCAACACGGAGCCUUGGCUCACACCGAACAACAAGCUAUAAAGGGCCCCAAAAUUACUAGUGUAAAACCAUUCAAACGGGAAAACCAACGGUCUAAUCUAUAUAAACAAAACGAGAAACACGUAUAUAUUACAUAAACAAACGACAACUACUGUACAUCAGAUUCCUGACUUAGGACAGGUGCAAACAUUUGCAGCGAG
Molecule: long non-coding RNA, 295 nt
Filed under: Mytilus galloprovincialis (Mediterranean mussel)
Lineage: Eukaryota; Metazoa; Mollusca; Bivalvia; Mytilida; Mytilidae
Source: RNAcentral